Molecule: ribosomal RNA, 508 nt
Filed under: uncultured bacterium
Lineage: Bacteria
Description: partial 16S ribosomal RNA
Rfam family: Bacterial small subunit ribosomal RNA
Source: RNAcentral
GACGAACGCUGGCGGCGUGCCUAAUACAUGCAAGUCGAACGCUUCUUUCCUCCCGAGUGCUUGCACUCAAUUGGAAAGAGGAGUGGCGGACGGGUGAGUAACACGUGGGUAACCUACCCAUCAGAGGGGGAUAACACUUGGAAACAGGUGCUAAUACCGCAUAACAGUUUAUGCCGCAUGGCAUAAGAGUGAAAGGCGCUUUCGGGUGUCGCUGAUUGAUGGACCCGCGGUGCAUUAGCUAGUUGGUGAGGUAACGGCUCACCAAGGCCACGAUGCAUAGCCGACCUGAGAGGGUGAUCGGCCACACUGGUACUGAGACACGGCCCAGACUCCUACGGGAGGCAGCAGUAGGGAAUCUUCGGCAAUGGACGAAAGUCUGACCGAGCAACGCCGCGUGAGUGAAGAAGGUUUUCGGAUCGUAAAACUCUGUUGUUAGAGAAGAACAAGGACGUUAGUAACUGAACGUCCCCUGACGGUAUCUAACCAGAAAGCCACGGCUAACUACGUG